UUCGAUUAGAGUUUGAUCAUGGCUCAGAACGAACGCUGGCGGCGUGCUUAACACAUGCAAGUCGAACGAGAAAGUACCUUCGGGUGCGAGUAAAGUGGCGCACGGGUGAGUAAUGCAUAGGAACGUACCGAAUGGUGGGGAACAACCACGGGAAACUGUGGCUAAUACCGCGUAAGAUCUUCGGAUGAAAGAGGGCCUCUGCUUGCAUGCUCUUGCCAUUAGAUCGGCCUAUUUCUCAUUAGCUUGUUGGUGGGGUAAAGGCCUACCAAGGCUUCGAUCAGUAGCUGGUCUGAGAGGAUGAUCAGCCACACUGGGACUGAGACACGGCCCAGACUCCUACGGGAGGCAGCAGUGGGGAAUUUUCCGCAAUGGGCGAAAGCCUGACGGAGCAACGCCGCGUGAGUGAAGAAGGCCCUUGGGUUGUAAAUCUCUUUCGGCUAGGAAGAAGGGUGUAUGAGUUAAUACCUCGAACACUUGACGGUACUAGAAGAAGAAGCACUGGCUAAUUCCGUGCCAGCAGCCGCGGUAAUACGGGAGUGGCAAGCGUUAUCCGGAAUUAUUGGGCGUAAAGCGUCCGCAGGCGGUCUUUUAAGUCUGCUGUUAAAGCGUGGAGCUUAACUCCAUUUCGGCAGUGGAAACUGGAAGACUAGAGUGUGGUAGGGGCAGAGGGAAUUCCCGGUGUAGCGGUGAAAUGCGUAGAUAUCGGGAAGAACACCAGUGGCGAAGGCGCUCUGCUGGGCCAUAACUGACGCUCAUGGACGAAAGCCAGGGGAGCGAAAGGGAUUAGAUACCCCUGUAGUCCUGGCCGUAAACGAUGAACACUAGGUGUCGGGGGAAUCGACCCCCUCGGUGUCGUAGCCAACGCGUUAAGUGUUCCGCCUGGGGAGUACGCACGCAAGUGUGAAACUCAAAGGAAUUGACGGGGGCCCGCACAAGCGGUGGAGUAUGUGGUUUAAUUCGAUGCAACGCGAAGAACCUUACCAGGGUUUGACAUCCUGCGAAUCUCUUGGAAACGAGAGAGUGCCUUCGGGAGCGCAGUGACAGGUGGUGCAUGGCUGUCGUCAGCUCGUGUCGUGAGAUGUUGGGUUAAGUCCCGCAACGAGCGCAACCCACGUCUUUAGUUGCCAGCAUUAAGUUGGGCACUCUAGAGAGACCGCCGGUGAUAAACCGGAGGAAGGUGUGGAUGACGUCAAGUCAUCAUGCCCCUUACAUCCUGGGCUACACACGUACUACAAUGCUACGGACAAAGGGCAGCAAACUCGCGAGAGCUAGCAAAUCCCAUAAACCGUGGCUCAGUUCAGAUCGUAGGCUGCAACUCGCCUACGUGAAGGAGGAAUCGCUAGUAAUCGCAGGUCAGCAUACUGCGGUGAAUACGUUCCCGGGCCUUGUACACACCGCCCGUC
RNAcentral lists this ribosomal RNA (1403 nucleotides) under uncultured prokaryote. RNAcentral describes it as "partial 16S ribosomal RNA". It matches the Rfam family "Bacterial small subunit ribosomal RNA". The record is from RNAcentral.